GACGAACGCUGGCGGCGUGCUUAACACAUGCAAGUCGAACGGAAAGGCCCUGCUUGCAGGGUACUCGAGUGGCGAACGGGUGAGUAACACGCGGGUGAUCUGCCCUGCACUUCGGGAUAAGCCUGGUAAACUGGGUCUAAUACCGGACAGGAGACAUUUUUAGUGUGAUGGUUGGAAAGUUUUUUGCGUGUUGGAUGAGCUCGCUGGCUAUCAGCUUGCUGGUGGGGUUAUGGCCUACCAAGGCGGCGGCGGGUAGCCAGCCUGAGGGGGUGGACGGCCACCUUGGGACUGAGGUGCGGCCCAAGCACCGAAGGGGGGGAACUGGGGGGAAGAUUGACGGAGGGGCGCAAGGCUGGUGCAGAGACGCCGCGGGGGGGAAAACGGCCUUAGGGUUGAAAAACCGAUGUGCAAGGGACGAAGCUUUUUGUGACGGUACCUAGAUAAGAAGCACCGGCUAACUACGUG
RNAcentral lists this ribosomal RNA (465 nucleotides) under uncultured bacterium. Its description in RNAcentral is "partial 16S ribosomal RNA". It matches the Rfam family "Bacterial small subunit ribosomal RNA", at positions 28 to 507 of the family's 1533-position model. The record is from RNAcentral.